GGUGAAGUGGCGAACGGGCGUUUAAUGCAUCGGAACGUGCCCAAUGGUGGGGGAUAGCCCGGCGAAAGCCGACUUUACCGCAUACGACCUACGGGUGAAAGUUGGGGACCGCAAGGCCUCGCGCUAGUAAGGCCGAUGUCAGAUUAGGUUGCUUGUGGGGUAAGUCCCCUACCAAGCCGACGAUCAGAGGCUGGUCUGAGAGGACGACCAGCCACACAGGGACUGAGACACGGCCCAGACUCCUACGGGAGGCAGCAGUGGGGCUCGUGGACAAUGGGCGCAAGCCUGAUCCAGCCAUGCCGCGUGCGGGAAGAAGGCCUUCGGCGAUUAAACCGCUUUUGUCAGGGAAGAAACGCUCCGGGUGAACCCCGGGGUAAUGACGGUACCUGAAGAAUAAGCACCGGCUAACUACGUGCCAGCAGUCGCGGUAAUACGUAGGGAAAAAGCGUUAAUCGGAAUUACUGGGCGUAAAGCGUGCGCAGGCGGUCUUAAGACAGA
RNAcentral lists this ribosomal RNA (498 nucleotides) under uncultured bacterium. RNAcentral's name for it is "bacterial SSU rRNA". It matches the Rfam family "Bacterial small subunit ribosomal RNA", at positions 89 to 592 of the family's 1533-position model. The record is from RNAcentral.